This 734-nucleotide ribosomal RNA is filed under the name Strongyloides stercoralis. Its description in RNAcentral is "eukaryotic LSU rRNA". It matches the Rfam family "Eukaryotic large subunit ribosomal RNA", at positions 57 to 728 of the family's 3401-position model. Lineage: Eukaryota; Metazoa; Nematoda; Chromadorea; Rhabditida; Strongyloididae. The record is from RNAcentral.
AAAAGAAACUAAAUAGGAUUUCCAUAGUAACUGCGAGUGAACUGGAAUUAGCCCAUCACGAAAUCUAUAUUAUAAUAAUAAUAUCGAAAUGUCGUGUAUAGGUUUUAUUAUUAUUAAUAAAUUAUUAUUAAAUAAUUGUAUUUAAAUAUACAGCCACAGAAGGUGCCAGCCCUGUUAUUUAAUAAUAUUUAUUAAAUUUAUAAAACUUUAGAGUCGUGUUGCUUGGAAGUGCAGCACAAAGUUGGUGAUAAACAUCAUCUAAGGCUAAAUAUUCCUAUGAAUCCGAUAGCGAACAAGUACUGUGAAGGAAAAUUGCAAAGUACUCCGGAGAGAGAGUUAAAGAGGACGUGAAACCGAUACGAUGGAAGCAUACAGAGCCAGUUGCACUAUUAUUAAUAUUUUUUUAUUAAUAAUUUUAAGCAUGGGUAUAUUGAUUAUUAAUUAGUUAUUUAUUAAAGAGUGAUAAAAUUUUUUAAAUUUUGUUAACUUUAAUAAAAUAAUUAUAUUUAUAAUUAAUAUUUAUUAUUAUUAAUGUAUUAAUAAUAUUUUAAUUAUUAAUAUAAUAUAAGACACAUGUGUUAAAUAUUAUUUAUUAAUAAUUAUUAUAUUAUUAUAAAUUAAUAAACCUAUGUAAUCCUGGUAUGCUGUAUGUCCCGUCUUGAAACACGGACCAAGGAGUGUAUUGCUAUGGCAAGUCAUUGAUAUUAUUAAUAUCAAAGGCAUAAUGAAAAUAA